Molecule: small RNA, 552 nt
Filed under: Pan troglodytes (chimpanzee)
Lineage: Eukaryota; Metazoa; Chordata; Mammalia; Primates; Hominidae
Description: processed transcript
Source: RNAcentral
AUCACUCCCAGUGCCACCAUGGUGAAGGAUAUAAACUGAAACAUCUGAAUCUUAUUUCUUAAAUGAAGAAUAUUAAUUUAAGGAUCAAUAAUUAUUUUGUAUAAUGGGUAUGGCAUAAGAAAUAAAAAGUCCUGGAUCUUUUCCAUGAGGUGGUUGGCUCUCAGGUUAAGUAACAAUGUAAUUGUAAAAAAAUCUUAUGAGUUCUUCAUAAGUACAUCUUAAAGCUGUCAAGAUGGUUCUAGCAGACCUUGGAAGAAAAAUAACAUCAGCAUUACGCUCGUUGAGCAAUGCCACCAUUAUCAAUGAAGAGGUAUUGAAUGCUAUGCUAAAAGAAGUCUGUACCGCUUUGUUGGAAGCAGAUGUUAAUAUUAAACUAGUGAAGCAACUAAGAGAAAAUGUUAAGUCUGCUAUUGAUCUUGAAGAGAUGGCAUCUGGUCUUAACAAAAGAAAAAUGAUUCAGCAUGCUGUAUUUAAAGAACUUGUGAAGAUUCUACAUUGCAGCUAACCUUUACAAACUACCAUGAUUAUAAAGAAGCCCUGAGACCAAGAAGU